RNAcentral lists this ribosomal RNA (869 nucleotides) under uncultured bacterium. Its description in RNAcentral is "bacterial SSU rRNA". It matches the Rfam family "Bacterial small subunit ribosomal RNA", at positions 21 to 906 of the family's 1533-position model. The record is from RNAcentral.
GGCUCAGGACGAACGCUGGCGGCGCGCCUCAUACAUGCAAGUCGAGCGAGAACCAGGGCUUGCCCUGGGGAGAGCGGCGAACGGGUGCGUAUCACGUGAGCAACCUGCCCCGAAGACCGGGAUAACUCGAGGAAACUCGGGCUAAUACCGGAUGUCCUCGGUGGACCGCAUGGUCCGGCGAGGAAAUGGAUUCCGCUUCGGGAUGGGCUCGCGGCCUAUCAGCUUGUUGGUGGGGUAACGGCCUACCAAGGCGACGACGGGUAGCUGGUCUGAGAGGACGAUCAGCCACACUGGGACUGAGACACGGCCCAGACUCCUACGGGAGGCAGCAGUAGGGAAUCUUGCGCAAUGGGCGAAAGCCUGACGCAGCGACGCCGCGUGCGGGAUGAAGGCCUUCGGGUCGUAAACCGCUUUCAGCAGGGACGAAAUUGACGGUACCUGCAGAAGAAGGCCCGGCCAACUACGCGCCAGCAGCCGCGGUGAUACGUAGGGGUCUAGCGUUGUCCGGAAUCAUUGGGCGUAAAGAGCUCGUAGGCGGUUCGGCAAGUCGGAUGUGAAAUCUCCACGCUCAACGUGGAGGGGCCAUUCGAAACUGCCGUGACUCGAGUCCGGUAGGGGAGUGCGGAAUUCCCGGUGUAGCGGUGAAAUGCGCAGAUAUCGGGAGGAACACCAGUGGCGAAGGCGGCACUCUGGGCCGGAACUGACGCUGAGGAGCGAAAGCGUGGGGAGCGAACAGGAUUAGAUACCCUGGUAGUCCACGCCGUAAACGUUGGGCACUAGGUGUGGGACUCUAUCGACGGGUUCCGUGCCGUAGCUAACGCAUUAAGUGCCCCGCCUGGGGAGUACGGCCGCAAGGCUAAAACUCAAAG